UCAGCUCUUCAUAUAAAUUUGCAGCAAUGAAAAUUAUAAUAUACAUAUUUUUAUUAGUUGCCAUUUUUACGGUUUUCGAAGUAAUAGCUAAUCCAUUAACUAAGGCGAACACUGAAUCGCUUUCACCAUCUAAGAAAAGUAUAUUUACUUUAUUAUUCUCUUUCUUUCUUGAUGCGGUAGAGAUCAUUUGGGACAUUUCUUACAUUUUCGUGGAGUAUGUGUACUUUUUUACUCUCUUUCCUUCUUGAUCCAGUAGGAACAUUACUUAGGAUAUUCCUCGUAUCAUCAAGAUAUAUUUUUACUUUUCUACUCUCUCUCUUUAUUCAUCCGCUAAGAAUAUUACGUAGGAUAUUGCAUAGAAUCUUGAUAAAUAUUCUUAAUUAUAUUAUUAUUUCCUUAUUUAAAUAUAUUAUGAAUUCCGGUUUGAUUCCUGCUCCGCUUGCGGCAUUACUUGCACUAGAAGGAUUAUAAUAUUUAAAAUUAAAAUGCAUUCAAGAUGAGCCACAGCAUAAAAAAGUUUAAGUGAUUGUGGAAUAAUAAUAAUAAGUGCCACAAUAUGUAUUUGGCCACAAUAUAUAUAUAUAUUAGAAUUUUUGAGAAUAAAAAUAUUAUCUAUGAUAUUAUAAAAAAUACAAAGUAAUAUUCUUGAUAUCAAAAUUGUGUAAUAUGCAAUUACAUGUUUAUAUUUUAUAAUUAUAUAUCAAAAUAUAUUUAUAUUUAUAUAUAUUUUGUAUUAAUAAACAUGCUAUGUAAAUGU
Long non-coding RNA from Cataglyphis hispanica, 757 nucleotides. RefSeq lists it as uncharacterized. Lineage: Eukaryota; Metazoa; Arthropoda; Insecta; Hymenoptera; Formicidae. The transcript is spliced from 2 exons. The record is from RefSeq and is a predicted model, not a curated record.